UAAAUACUCCCUUUGUGCGAAAAUACUUGCCAUCAAAAUGGAUAAAAAGAGAUGUAUCUAAAACUACAUAUAGAUACAUUUCCUUUUAUCCAUUUUGAUGACAAGUAUUUCCGGACGGAGGGAGUAUUUG
Triticum aestivum (bread wheat) is the source of this 130-nucleotide non-coding RNA. The record is from Rfam. NCBI's taxonomy places the organism in Eukaryota, Viridiplantae, Streptophyta, Magnoliopsida, Poales, Poaceae.